This 303-nucleotide ribosomal RNA is filed under the name uncultured bacterium. RNAcentral's name for it is "partial 16S ribosomal RNA". It matches the Rfam family "Bacterial small subunit ribosomal RNA", at positions 507 to 808 of the family's 1533-position model. The record is from RNAcentral.
AGCAGUAGCCGCGGUAAUACGUAGGGUGCGAGCGUUAAUCGGAAUUACUGGGCGUAAAGCGUGCGCAGGCGGUUGUGUAAGACAGGUGUGAAAUCCCCGGGCUUAACCUGGGAACUGCGCUUGUGACUGCACAGCUAGAGUAUGGCAGAGGGGGGUGGAAUUCCACGUGUAGCAGUGAAAUGCGUAGAGAUGUGGAGGAACACCGAUGGCGAAGGCAGCCCCCUGGGCCAAUACUGACGCUCAUGCACGAAAGCGUGGGAGCAAACAGGAUUAGAUACCCGUGUAGUCCCUGUCUCUUAUACA